RNAcentral lists this ribosomal RNA (265 nucleotides) under uncultured archaeon. Its description in RNAcentral is "partial 16S ribosomal RNA". It matches the Rfam family "Archaeal small subunit ribosomal RNA", at positions 717 to 982 of the family's 1478-position model. The record is from RNAcentral.
ACACGACUACAUUAGAUACCCCGGUAGUCCUAGCCGUAAACGAUACUCGCUAGGUGUCGGCCACGGUGCGACCGUUGUCGGUGCCGUAGGGAAGCCGUGAAGCGAGCCACCUGGGAAGUACGGCCGCAAGGCUGAAACUUAAAGGAAUUGGCGGGGGAGCACAACAACGGGUGGAGCUUGCGGUUUAACUGGAUUCAACGCCGGAAAUCUUACCGGGACCGACAGCAACAUGAAGGCCAAGCUGAAGACUUUGCCGGAUUAGCUG